This 669-nucleotide ribosomal RNA is filed under the name Triticum aestivum (bread wheat). RNAcentral describes it as "partial small subunit ribosomal RNA". The record is from RNAcentral. Lineage: Eukaryota; Viridiplantae; Streptophyta; Magnoliopsida; Poales; Poaceae.
AUGUCGGGGGUUUUCGGCAGGGUGUUCGGGAAGUCCAAGGAGCAGAGCCAGGCGUCCGCGCUGGCCUCCAUCGACAAGCUCAGCGAGACUCUUGAAAUGUUGGAAAAGAAGGAAAAUUUACUAAUGAAGAAGGCGAAUCUUGAAGUUGAGAAGGCAAAGGCGUUCACCAAAGCCAAGAACAAAAAAGCUGCACUACAGUGUCUCAAGAGGAAGAGAUUAUAUGAGCAACAGGUGGAGCAGCUUGGGAAUUUCCAAUUGAGGAUUCAUGAUCAGAUGAUAAUGCUGGAAGGUGCAAAAGCUACAACAGAGACUGUGGAUGCAUUGAGAACCGGAGCAUCAGCAAUGAAAGCUAUGCACAAAUCAACAAAUAUUGAUGAUGUUGACAAAACCAUGGAUGAAAUUAAUGACAAUAUGGAGAACAUGAGGCAGAUCCAGGAUCUACUGUCUGCGCCUAUGGGAGCAGCAAGUGAUUUCGAUGAAGAUGAGCUGGAAGCUGAACUUGCGGAUUUGGAGGGCGAGGAGUUGGAGGCACAGCUACUAGCACCAACCACAAGUGCUCCUAUGACUGCUCCAGCGCGUGUACCUCAGCAGUCGAGUCGGCCCACUGCUCAGAGUAGUAAAACCGAAGAUGAUGAGCUGGCAGCUUUACAAGCAGAGAUGGCUAUGUAG